AGAGUUUGAUCCUGGCUCAGGAUGAACGCUAGCGACAGGCUUAACACAUGCAAGUCGAGGGGCAGCAGGGGAGUAACAAUACUCCCGCUGGCGACCGGCGCACGGGUGAGUAACACGUAUGCAACCUGCCCUUGUCAGGGGGAUAAACGGGAGAAAUUCCGUCUAAUACCGCAUAAUACCUUAUGGGGACAUCCUCAUGAGGUCAAAGAUUUAUCGGACAAGGAUGGGCAUGCGUCGCAUUAGUUAGUUGGCGGUGUAACGGACCACCAAGACGACGAUGCGUAGGGGUUCUGAGAGGAAGGUCACCCACACUGGUACUGAGACACGGACCAGACUCCUACGGGAGGCAGCAGUGAGGAAUAUUGGUUAAUGGGCGGGAGCCUGAACCAGCCAAGUCGCGUGAGGGAAGACGGUCCUAAGGAUUGUAAACCUCUUUUGUCAUGGAGCAAGGACUGCCACGAGUGCAAGGGCGAGAGUACCUGAAGAAAAAAGCAUCGGCUAACUCCGUUGCCAGCAAGCCGCGGUAAUACGGAGGAAUGCGGAGCGUUAUCCGGAUUUAUUGGGUUUAAAGGGUGCGCAGGCGGACCGGAAAGUCAGCGGUAAAAUCGAGGAGCUCAACUCCUUCCAGCCGUUGAAACUGUCGGUCUAGAGUGGGCGAGAAGUAUGCGGAAUGCGUGGUGUAGCGGUGAAAUGCAUAGAUAUCACGCAGAACUCCGAUUGCGAAGGCAGCAUACCGGCGCCCAACUGACGCUCAGGCACGAAAGCGUGGGUAUCGAACAGGAUUAGAUACCCUGGUAGUCCACGCAGUAAACGAUGAAUACUAAUUGUUCGGCGCGAAUGAGCGCUGAGUGAUACAGCGAAAGCGUUAAGUAUUCCACCUGGGGAGUACGCCGGCAACGGUGAAACUCAAAGGAAUUGACGGGGGCCCGCACAAGCGGAGGAACAUGUGGUUUAAUUCGAUGAUACGCGAGGAACCUUACCCGGGCUCAAACGACAGACGGAUACUUUUGAAAGGAGGUAGCUCUUCGGAGCGUCUGUCGAGGUGCUGCAUGGUUGUCGUCAGCUCGUGCCGUGAGGUGUCGGCUUAAGUGCCAUAACGAGCGCAACCCCCAUCUACAGUUGCCAUCGAGUGAAGUCGGGCACUCUGUAGAGACUGCCGGCGCAAGCUGUGAGGAAGGCGGGGAUGACGUCAAAUCAGCACGGCCCUUACGUCCGGGGCGACACACGUGUUACAAUGGCAGGUACAGCGGGAAGCCACCUGGCGACAGGGAGCGGAACCCGAAAACCUGUCUCAGUUCGGAUUGGAGUCUGCAACUCGACUCCAUGAAGCUGGAUUCGCUAGUAAUCGCGCAUCAGCCAUGGCGCGGUGAAUACGUUCCCGGGCCUUGCACUCACCGCCCGUCA
Molecule: ribosomal RNA, 1404 nt
Filed under: uncultured bacterium
Lineage: Bacteria
Description: 16S ribosomal RNA
Rfam family: Bacterial small subunit ribosomal RNA
Source: RNAcentral